RNAcentral lists this long non-coding RNA (1554 nucleotides) under Cricetulus griseus (Chinese hamster). RNAcentral describes it as "lncRNA (ENSCGRG00015030620.1)". Lineage: Eukaryota; Metazoa; Chordata; Mammalia; Rodentia; Cricetidae. The record is from RNAcentral.
GUUGAAAGCAUCAGAGUGCAGCUAGGUUUAGCUCCACAUACUUGUAAUCCCAGCCCAGCAGGAUCAGAUUUUCAGGACCAGCCUUCACUAUGUGAACCUCUAUCUCAAAACACUAAGAGGUUGGGGAGAUGAAUCAGUCACUAACAUGAUUGCCUCACAAACAUGAGGACCUAAACUGGAUCCCCCGCAUCCAUUUGACAACAAGCACCUUUAAUGCCAUCAUUGAGGAGGAUCCUAAGGGCACUCUGGCCAGCUAACUGGUGUCAGAAGAGGACACUGGAUCACUUGGAAUUGUAGUUAUGGGUAGUUAUGAACCACCAUGUGGGUGCUGGCAACCAAGCAAAAAAUGGUAUUACCCUAUGAAAACUCAUCUCCAGAAGUCAAAGGACACUCCAUGGGUAGAUACUUAAGAAGAUAAGGUAGCUAUAACCAUCAAACAAAAGGAAAGUGCCAUAUGGUAAACUUUACAGCUGUCUCUCAGAGAACUCUAUUUCUCUUUAUUUCCUAGUCCCUAUUCAAUUAAACCAAUGCUGGAUUUAGAGUUGGAUUUGGCUUUCCUCCUCUAAAAUCCAAGCAUGUUUGUUGUUUAACUAAACUUUAGAGUUUCUGUAUUGUAUCAAGAAGCCAAUUGAUGUAAUACAGAAUAAGAAAGAAUUUGGAGACUGUCUUUGUCUUACCUUGGCUCUUUCUUUCAAGGUACACCCUCUCAUAAUUGUUAUUCUCCCAUUGUUGUCUUUUCCAGUAUGCAUAUUUAUACAAGCAAGCAUUCCUCUGCUAACAUUUAUGUUUGAGUCCCACACAGCCAAUGAAGACCUGCCUGACAGCAAUCCCUGGACACCCUGGAAAGAAAAUGGUCUACAUCUCCUCGACUGCACUGGGAUCCAACUUGCUCCAUUUCAACUGACACUCCGGCCAGAGGUUCGGGUACUGACUUCAUUCAAGUUGAGGAUUUCAAGCAAGAUCUUCAAUUAAGCGAAUCCCAACUAACAUGGACUGGAUACGAUCCAUUCAAGACUUUCACUAUACUAACAUUUUCUUCCUACAGGACCCUACAAGGCUGUUGUCAUCCCAUUUCAGCAGGAAGUAACUUGGAGGAUGCUAUGCCCCCAUUUCCCCUAUUGUUGUCAUUUAGGAUAGUGUAUAUACCUAGUUAGGGAUAGCUUCCUAUUGUUUAUGGUUGAGAUUGGAAGGAGGUAUUCAGGCUUGGACACCUUUUUCAGAUGACUUUAGGGUUUAGUUAAAAUAGACAUAGUUAGGAUGUGACAUAAGCAGAUUGUUGUAUCUUCUUAUAUUUCACCUUUAUGAUUGUUAAUUUUGGAUACUUUACACGGUUAAGUUUUAAUCCUCUUUUAAACUAAAAGGGGAAUUGUAGGGGAUGUUAUAGCCACGCCUGCUUAGGGGCUGGCUACAGGUGUGCCUGACCACGCCUGCAAGGGCGUGGUCAGGGGGACUAGAGUGAGGGAUGCUUACUUGAUGGGCUGCUUUUGCUUUCAUCUUUGGCUUGCUGUAUGAACUGCUGCCCCACUGGCUGGCUAGGUCACUCUGUAAGUAAGG